CCAAUUGGUCUUCUCACUGCUCUA
This 24-nucleotide non-coding RNA is filed under the name Arabidopsis thaliana (thale cress). Lineage: Eukaryota; Viridiplantae; Streptophyta; Magnoliopsida; Brassicales; Brassicaceae. The record is from RNAcentral.